This 253-nucleotide ribosomal RNA is filed under the name uncultured bacterium. RNAcentral's name for it is "partial 16S ribosomal RNA". It matches the Rfam family "Bacterial small subunit ribosomal RNA", at positions 524 to 776 of the family's 1533-position model. The record is from RNAcentral.
UACGAAGGGGGCUAGCGUUGUUCGGAAUUACUGGGCGUAAAGGGCGCGUAGGCGGCGUGUCAAGUCAGACGUGAAAUCCCUCGGCUUAACCGGGGAACUGCGUCUGAUACUGGAUGGCUUGAGGUUGGGAGAGGGAUGCGGAAUUCCAGGUGUAGCGGUGAAAUGCGUAGAUAUCUGGAGGAACACCGGUGGCGAAGGCGGCAUCCUGGACCAAUUCUGACGCUGAGGAGCGAAAGCGUGGGGAGCGAACAGG